UGCGUAGGCGGUUUGUUAAGUCAAAUCUGAAAGCCCCCGGCUUAACCGGGGAGGGUGAUUUGAAACUGGCAGACUUGAGUACGGCAGAGGUUAGUGGAAUUCAAUGUGUAGCGGUGGAAUGCGUAGAUAUAUUGAGGAACACCAGUGGCGAAGGCGGCUAACUGGACCGGAACUGACGCUGAUGCACGAAAGCGUGGGGAGCAAACAGGAUUAGAUACCCUGGUAGUCC
This 229-nucleotide ribosomal RNA is filed under the name uncultured bacterium. RNAcentral's name for it is "partial 16S ribosomal RNA". It matches the Rfam family "Bacterial small subunit ribosomal RNA", at positions 568 to 796 of the family's 1533-position model. The record is from RNAcentral.